This 839-nucleotide long non-coding RNA is filed under the name Homo sapiens (human). RNAcentral's name for it is "non-protein coding lnc-BATF3-6:1". The record is from RNAcentral. Lineage: Eukaryota; Metazoa; Chordata; Mammalia; Primates; Hominidae.
UGGACGGCGACCCUGGGCUUUCGGGAGAAAGCCAGAGGGGCAGGGUUCUGGAAGGUUCCCUGGCGGCUGGGGUGCGGUGCGGGCUGAAAUCCGAGCAGGAGCUGGGCGCGGCCCUCGGGGACCGACUAUGGGGGACGGCGCCGCGGGAGUGGGGCAAGUGCGGGCCUGGACCCUUGGGGCCACCGCGUCAGCAGUCGGCGGGGCCGUGGGAGGGACGGUGCCCGCCCGCUGUGAAGGGCGGUGGCCCUUCUAGGGUCAGGCCAAGCGCAGAGGCCUGAAGGUCACCGGGUGAGGAGCCAGCGCGGGUGCCUCAGAAGCCAAGCGCCCCGUCCCGAGCCCUGCGCGAACCAGUAUGACCUUCCAGGAACCAGAUGAGAGCUGCGUUUUCAAGAAGCAGUGCCAGACACCUUGGGAAAUCGACACUCUCCUGUCCUUGGGUGGGGGUGGGGGUCCUGGAAAGAAGCUCCGUCAGCGUAAAGUGAACUCUUAGCUUUGACUUUGCAGAGGGAUCCGUUGUGUCACAGUGACCCGCAUUCCUGUCAUUGGUGUGGUGUGUUUCACAGCCAUUGCCUCCCUAGGUAGAUUGUAAAACGGCGUUCGUAGAGCCUUUGACCUCAUAAUAUUAUGUUGGAAAUUACACGAUAGUAAACAUAAUGAUAAAUGGGGAAUGUUAAAUGGUAGUAUGGGAACAUUUUCUAAUGGUUGCAUCCUUAAAAUUUUCUGUUUCAAGUUUUUAAAGGCUAUAGCCUUAAAAAAAGCUGACUGUAGGAAAAUGGUGGAAAGAGUCGUGGAAUAAAGGUAGCUUUGGGGAUUAUGACGUGAAUAAAUGACAGAAAUUA